GAUUCCUCCUUCAUGGCCUAAAGAAUGAUUGCAGGACAUGCCUGCUACACAGAAGAAAGCCUUCCAGGGAAGAGAAACAGCUGCCUCACAACAGCCACUCACUCGUUCCUGGAGAAUGAUCACACUCACAUGAGAACUGGACUGCUCUAGCUUGGUGUACCUUCCCAGGAACCUGCAGAAGGAGAAAAGCCUUCAAAAUCUCAAAUCAAAGGGGCCCCUGCCUGGCAACUCCCAGCACUGUGAGGGGACACAAGCCCAGUUCAGAGCCUUCUGUGAGCGGACUCUUCUCCACACUAAAGUCACUCGACAGAGAUGGUGCUGUCAUAUAUUCGGGAACCGUAGCAUCUCAGAAAUGAGAUUCAAAUGACCAAAUAACUUGAAAUGAGGAAAAAAGAACAAAGUCCAGAUUAUACCAUGAC
This 419-nucleotide long non-coding RNA is filed under the name Fukomys damarensis (Damara mole-rat). RNAcentral's name for it is "lncRNA (ENSFDAG00000031931.1)". Lineage: Eukaryota; Metazoa; Chordata; Mammalia; Rodentia; Bathyergidae. The record is from RNAcentral.